AACGAACGCUGGCGGCAUGCCUAACACAUGCAAGUCGAACGAGACCUUCGGGUCUAGUGGCGCACGGGUGCGUAACGCGUGGGAACCUGCCCUUAGGUUCGGAAUAACUCCCCGAAAGGGGUGCUAAUACCGGAUAAUGUCUUCGAACCAAAGAUUUAUCGCCUUUGGAUGGGCCCGCGUUGGAUUAGCUAGUUGGUAGGGUAAAAGCCUACCAAGGCGACGAUCCAUAGCUGGUCUGAGAGGAUGAUCAGCCACACUGGGACUGAGACACGGCCCAGACUCCUACGGGAGGCAGCAGUGGGGAAUAUUGGACAAUGGGCGAAAGCCUGAUCCAGCAAUGCCGCGUGAGUGAUGAAGGCCUUAGGGUUGUAAAGCUCUUUUACCCGGGAUGAUAAUGACAGUACCGGGAGAAUAAGCUCCGGCUAACUCCGU
This 432-nucleotide ribosomal RNA is filed under the name uncultured bacterium. RNAcentral's name for it is "partial 16S ribosomal RNA". It matches the Rfam family "Bacterial small subunit ribosomal RNA", at positions 29 to 506 of the family's 1533-position model. The record is from RNAcentral.